Molecule: ribosomal RNA, 547 nt
Filed under: uncultured Bacteroidota bacterium
Lineage: Bacteria; Pseudomonadati; Bacteroidota
Description: bacterial SSU rRNA
Rfam family: Bacterial small subunit ribosomal RNA
Source: RNAcentral
GCAGGCUUAAUACAUGCAAGUCGAGGGGCAGCACGAAUAGCAAUAUUUGGUGGCGACCGGCAAACGGGUGCGGAACACGUACAGAACCUUCCUUCGAGUGGGGAAUAGCCCGAAGAAAUUCGGAUUAAUACCCCAUAGUAUUAUGAAGUGGCAUCACUUUAUAAUUAAAGAUUUAUUGCUUGAAGAUGGCUGUGCGCCUGAUUAGGUAGUUGGCGGGGUAACGGCCCACCAAGCCUGCGAUCAGUAACUGGUGUGAGAGCACGACCAGUCACACGGGCACUGAGACACGGGCCCGACUCCUACGGGAGGCAGCAGUAAGGAAUAUUGGUCAAUGGACGCAAGUCUGAACCAGCCAUGCCGCGUGGAGGAUGAAGGUCCUCUGGAUUGUAAACUUCUUUUAUUUGGGAAGAAAUUUCCCGAUUCUUCGGGACUUGACGGUACCAGAUGAAUAAGCACCGGCUAACUCCGUGCCAGCAGCCGCGGUAAUACGGAGGGUGCAAGCGUUAUCCGGAUUUACUGGGUUUAAAGGGUGCGCAGGCGGAUAUGU